Ornithodoros turicata is the source of this 315-nucleotide long non-coding RNA. RefSeq lists it as uncharacterized. Lineage: Eukaryota; Metazoa; Arthropoda; Arachnida; Ixodida; Argasidae. The record is from RefSeq and is a predicted model, not a curated record. The transcript is spliced from 3 exons.
AUAAAUGGCAGUGCCAGUGUAGAAACACGAGCAGGAAACGAGAAGGAAAGAAAUACUAUCAUAGGAGCAGCUUGCAUGAAAACCAUGAAGACAGCGGGAAACACAGGUUCUCCUGCGUCACUGCAGCCAAACGUCCUGAAAACCGGAAUGCCAGAGUUGCCAUCUGCGCUAAAGACGCCAUCAGUGUUACACCUCGAGAGAUUCGCAGCAACGUUCACGAACAUGGCGCGUCUCCAGGGCUCCGGAGGACGGCUCCAAUGUGCAAGACAUUAAUGGAUACAUGUAAGAAAGCUUGAAUAAAUGUAUUGGUUGUCA